ACUUCUUUAUCACCGAGUGCUUGCACUCACCGAUAAAGAGUUGAGUGGCGAACGGGUGAGUAACACGUGGGCAACCUGCCCAAAAGAGGGGGAUAACACUUGGAAACAGGUGCUAAUACCGCAUAACCAUAGUUACCGCAUGGUAACUAUGUAAAAGGUGGCUAUGCUACCGCUUUUGGAUGGGCCCGCGGCGCAUUAGCUAGUUGGUGGGGUAAAGGCUUACCAAGGCAAUGAUGCGUAGCCGAACUGAGAGGUUGAUCGGCCACAUUGGGACUGAGACACGGCCCAAACUCCUACGGGAGGCAGCAGUAGGGAAUCUUCCACAAUGGGCGAAAGCCUGAUGGAGCAACGCCGCGUGGGUGAAGAAGGUCUUCGGAUCGUAAAACCCUGUUGUUAGAGAAGAAAGUGCGUGAGAGUAACUGUUCACGUUUCGACGGUAUCUAACCAGAAAGCCACGGCUAACUACGUGCCAGCAGCCGCGGUAAUACGUAGGUGGCAAGCGUUAUCCGGAUUUAUUGGGCGUAAAGGGAACGCAGGCGGUCUUUUAAGUCUGAUGUGAAAGCCUUCGGCUUAACCGGAGUAGUGCAUUGGAAACUGGGAGACUUGAGUGCAGAAGAGGAGAGUGGAACUCCAUGUGUAGCGGUGAAAUGCGUAGAUAUAUGGAAGAACACCAGUGGCGAAAGCGGCUCUCUGGUCUGUAACUGACGCUGAGGUUCGAAAGCGUGGGUAGCAAACA
Molecule: ribosomal RNA, 736 nt
Filed under: uncultured bacterium
Lineage: Bacteria
Description: bacterial SSU rRNA
Rfam family: Bacterial small subunit ribosomal RNA
Source: RNAcentral